GCCAGCAGCAUACCACCCUGCAUCCCAUUGCUGGCUUGCUUCUGAAGCUAAGCAGGGUUGGUCCUGGAUGGGAGACCAGAUGCUGCUGGAA
RNAcentral lists this ribosomal RNA (91 nucleotides) under Hucho hucho (huchen). Lineage: Eukaryota; Metazoa; Chordata; Actinopteri; Salmoniformes; Salmonidae. The record is from RNAcentral.